AUUGAACGCUGGCGGCAGGCCUAACACAUGCAAGUCGAGCGGAUGAAGGGAGCUUGCUCCUGGAUUCAGCGGCGGACGGGUGAGUAAUGCCUAGGAAUCUGCCUUGUAGUGGGGGAUAACGUCCGGAAACGGGCGCUAAUACCGCAUACGUCCUGAGGGAGAAAGGGGGGGAUCUUCGGACCUCACGCUAUCAGAUGAGCCUAGGACGGAUUAGCUAGUUGGUGGGGUAAAGGCCUACCAAGGCGACGAUCCGUAACUGGUCUGAGAGGAUGAUCAGCCACACUGGAACUGAGACACGGUCCAGACUCCUACGGGAGGCAGCAGUGGGGAAUAUUGGACAAUGGGCGAAAGCCUGAUGCAGCCAUGCCGCGUGUGUGAAGAAGGUCUUCGGAUUGUAAAGCACUUUAAGUUGGGAGGAAGGGCAGUAAGUUAAUCCCUGGCCGUUUUGACGGUACCAACAGAAUAAGCACCGGCUAACUUCGUG
This 484-nucleotide ribosomal RNA is filed under the name uncultured bacterium. Its description in RNAcentral is "partial 16S ribosomal RNA". It matches the Rfam family "Bacterial small subunit ribosomal RNA", at positions 30 to 507 of the family's 1533-position model. The record is from RNAcentral.